UAGGGAAUCUUCGGCAAUGGGGGGAACCCUGACCGAGCAACGCCGCGUGAGUGAAGAAGGUUUUCGGAUCGUAAAGCUCUGUUGUUAAGGAAGAACGAGUGUGAGAAUGGAAAGUUCAUGCUGUGACGGUACUUAACCAGAAAGGGACGGCUAACUACGUGCCAGCAGCCGCGGUAAUACGUAGGUCCCGAGCGUUGUCCGGAUUUAUUGGGCGUAAAGCGAGCGCAGGCGGUUAGAAAAGUCUGAAGUGAAAGGCAGUGGCUCAACCAUUGUAGGCUUUGGAAACUGUUUAACUUGAGUGCAGAAGGGGAGAGUGGAAUUCCAUGUGUAGCGUUGAAAUGCGUAGAUAUAUGGAGGAACACCGGUGGCGAAAGCGGCUCUCUGGUCUGUAACUGACGCUGAGGCUCGAAAGCGUGGGGAGCGAACAGG
Molecule: ribosomal RNA, 429 nt
Filed under: Verrucomicrobiota bacterium
Lineage: Bacteria; Pseudomonadati; Verrucomicrobiota
Description: Verrucomicrobia bacterium partial 16S ribosomal RNA
Rfam family: Bacterial small subunit ribosomal RNA
Source: RNAcentral